AGCGAACGCUGGCGGCAGGCCUAACACAUGCAAGUCGAACGAAGUCUUCGGACUUAGUGGCGGACGGGUGAGUAACACGUGGGAACGUACCUUUUGGUUCGGAACAACUCAGGGAAACUUGAGCUAAUACCGGAUGAGUCCUUAGGGGGAAAGAUUUAUCGCCGAAAGAGCGGCCCGCGUUAGAUUAGCUAGUUGGUGAGGUAAAGGCUCACCAAGGCGACGAUCUAUAGCUGGUCUGAGAGGAUGAUCAGCCACACUGCGACUGAGACACGGCCCAGACUACUACGGGAGGCAGCAGUGGGGAAUCUUGCGCAAUGGGCGAAAGCCUGACGCAGCCAUGCCGCGUGAAUGAUGAAGGUCUUAGGAUUGUAAAAUUCUUUUACCAGGGACGAUAAUGACGGUACCUGGAGAAAAAGCCCCGGCUAACUUCGUGCCAGCCGCCGCCGUAA
Molecule: ribosomal RNA, 449 nt
Filed under: uncultured bacterium
Lineage: Bacteria
Description: partial 16S ribosomal RNA
Rfam family: Bacterial small subunit ribosomal RNA
Source: RNAcentral